Molecule: ribosomal RNA, 433 nt
Filed under: uncultured bacterium
Lineage: Bacteria
Description: partial 16S ribosomal RNA
Rfam family: Bacterial small subunit ribosomal RNA
Source: RNAcentral
AACGAACGCUGGCGGCAUGCCUAACACAUGCAAGUCGAACGAGACCUUCGGGUCUAGUGGCGCACGGGUGCGUAACGCGUGGGAACCUGCCCUUAGGUUCGGAAUAACUCCCCGAAAGGGGUGCUAAUACCGGAUAAUGUCUUCGGACCAAAGAUUUAUCGCCUUUGGAUGGGCCCGCGUUGGAUUAGCUAGUUGGUAGGGUAAAAGCCUACCAAGGUGACGAUCCAUAGCUGGUCUGAGAGGAUGAUCAGCCACACUGGGACUGAGACACGGCCCAGACUCCUACGGGAGGCAGCAGUGGGGAAUAUUGGACAAUGGGCGAAAGCCUGAUCCAGCAAUGCCGCGUGAGUGAUGAAGGCCUUAGGGUUGUAAAGCUCUUUUACCCGGGAUGAUAAUGACAGUACCGGGAGAAUAAGCUCCGGCUAACUCCGUG